This 232-nucleotide ribosomal RNA is filed under the name uncultured bacterium. Its description in RNAcentral is "partial 16S ribosomal RNA". It matches the Rfam family "Bacterial small subunit ribosomal RNA", at positions 15 to 236 of the family's 1533-position model. The record is from RNAcentral.
GAUCCUGGCUCAGGAUGAACGCUAGCUACAGGCUUAACACAUGCAAGUCGAGGGGAAACGACAUCGAAAGCUUGCUUUUGAUGGGCGUCUACCGGCGCACGGGUGAGUAACGCGUAUCCAACCUGCCCAUCACUUGGGAAUAACCUUGCGAAAGUAAGACUAAUGCCCAAUGAUAUCCCACGAAGGCAUCCGAAUGGGAUUAAAGAUUUAUCGGUGAUGGAUGGGCAUGCGU